GUUCGAGCGUCAUUACAACCCUCAAGCUCUGCUUGGUAUUGGGCGUCACCACCCGUGGUGUGCCCUAAAAUCAGUGGCGGUGCAUCCGGCUUCAAGCGUAGUAAUUCUUCUCGCUUCUGGAGCCGGGUGCGUGCUUGCCAGCAACCCCCAAUUUUUUUAAGGUUGACCUCGGAUCAGGUAGGGAUACCCGCUGAACUUAA
This 200-nucleotide unclassified non-coding RNA is filed under the name soil metagenome. RNAcentral describes it as "partial contains internal transcribed spacer 2 and large subunit ribosomal RNA". The record is from RNAcentral.